Molecule: ribosomal RNA, 447 nt
Filed under: uncultured bacterium
Lineage: Bacteria
Description: partial 16S ribosomal RNA
Rfam family: Bacterial small subunit ribosomal RNA
Source: RNAcentral
AGCGAACGCUGGCGGCAGGCCUAACACAUGCAAGUCGAGCGCCCAGCAAUGGGAGCGGCAGACGGGUGAGUAACGCGUGGGGAUCUACCCAUUGGUACGGAAUAACCCAGGGAAACUUGGAUUAAUACCGUAUGAGCCCUUCGGGGGAAAGAUUUAUCGCCAAUGGAUGAACCCGCGUCUGAUUAGCUAGUUGGUGAGGUAAAGGCUCACCAAGGCGACGAUCAGUAGCUGGUCUGAGAGGAUGAUCAGCCACACUGGGACUGAGACACGGCCCAGACUCCUACGGGAGGCAGCAGUGGGGAAUAUUGGACAAUGGGCGCAAGCCUGAUCCAGCCAUGCCGCGUGAGUGAUGAAGGCCUUGGGGUUGUAAAGCUCUUUCGCCGGUGAAGAUAAUGACGGUAACCGGAGAAGAAGCCCCGGCUAACUUCGUGCCAGCAGCCGCCGUAA